Molecule: ribosomal RNA, 418 nt
Filed under: uncultured eukaryote
Lineage: Eukaryota
Description: bacterial SSU rRNA
Rfam family: Eukaryotic small subunit ribosomal RNA
Source: RNAcentral
GGAACCGACCCGGGGACCGCCGGGGCAACCCCGGCGCCCCCGAGACGGGGCGAACCACGGUGAAAUGACGGAUCGUCGGCCCCGCGCCGGCGACUCGCCGAAUGAGUUUCUGACCUAUCAACUCGAGACGGCGGGGGUAGAGGCCCGCCGCGGUAACGACGGGUAACGGGGAAUUAGGGGUUUGAUUCCGGAGAAAAAGGCCUGAGAGACGGCCAUUACUUCUAAGGAAGGCAGCAGGCGCGUAAAUUACCCAAUCCUAAUACGGGGAGGUAGUGACAAGAAAUAUUGAUAUUGGACCCAAAGGGUACAAUGAUUGAAAUGAGAACAAUAUAAAAAACUUAACGAACUAACAAUUGGAGGGCAAGUCUGGUGCCAGCAGCCGCGGUAAUUCCAGCUCCAAGAGUGUAUAUUAAAGUUG